RNAcentral lists this ribosomal RNA (497 nucleotides) under uncultured bacterium. RNAcentral's name for it is "partial 16S ribosomal RNA". It matches the Rfam family "Bacterial small subunit ribosomal RNA", at positions 28 to 507 of the family's 1533-position model. The record is from RNAcentral.
GACGAACGCUGGCGGCGUGCCUAAUACAUGCAAGUAGAACGCUGAAGAGAGGAGCUUGCUCUUCUUGGAUGAGUUGCGAACGGGUGAGUAACGCGUAGGUAACCUGCCUGGUAGCGGGGGAUAACUAUUGGAAACGAUAGCUAAUACCGCAUAACAAUGGAUGACACAUGUCAUUUAUUUGAAAGGGGCAAUUGCUCCACUACAAGAUGGACCUGCGUUGUAUUAGCUAGUAGGUGAGGUAAUGGCUCACCUAGGCGACGAUACAUAGCCGACCUGAGAGGGUGAUCGGCCACACUGGGACUGAGACACGGCCCAGACUCCUACGGGAGGCAGCAGUAGGGAAUCUUCGGCAAUGGGGGCAACCCUGACCGAGCAACGCCGCGUGAGUGAAGAAGGUUUUCGGAUCGUAAAGCUCUGUUGUAAGUCAAGAACGGGUGUGAGAGUGGAAAGUUCACACUGUGACGGUAGCUUACCAGAAAGGGACGGCUAACUACGUG